CCUACGGGAGGCAGCAGUGGGGAAUAUUGCGCAAUGGGCGAAAGCCUGACGCAGCGACGCCGCGUGAGGGAUGAAGGUCUUCGGAUCGUAAACCUCUGUCAGCAGGGAAGAACGGUCACUGUGCUAAUCAGCAGUGACUUGACGGUACCUGCAAAGGAAGCACCGGCUAACUCCGUGCCAGCAGCCGCGGUAAUACGGAGGGUGCGAGCGUUAUUCGGAAUUACUGGGCGUAAAGCGCUCGUAGGCGGUAUGUCAAGUCAAGGGGGAAAUCCCCGCGCUCAACGUGGGAACUGCCUUUGAAACUGGCAAACUGGAGUGUAGGAGAGGAUAGUGGAAUUCCAGGUGUAGGAGUGAAAUGCGUAGAUAUCUGGAGGAACAUCAGGGGCGAAGGCGACUAUCUGGCACAUAACUGACGCUGAGGAGCGAAAGCGUGGGUAGCAAACAGGAUUAGAUACCCCGGUAGUC
Molecule: ribosomal RNA, 465 nt
Filed under: uncultured bacterium
Lineage: Bacteria
Description: partial 16S ribosomal RNA
Rfam family: Bacterial small subunit ribosomal RNA
Source: RNAcentral